AAGGUCUUGAUUUCAUGCUGCCAAGAAAAGCCUCUAGCCAGGUAAAGGUGCCCGUACCGCAAACCGACACAGGUAGGCGAGAAGAGAAUUCUAAGGCGCGCGGAAGAACUCUCGUUAAGGAACUCGGCAAAAUGACCCCGUAACUUUGGGAGAAGGGGUGCCCCGGUAGGGUUUAUAGCCCGAGGGGGCCGCAGUGAAUAGGCCCGAGCGACUGUUUAGCAAAAACACAGGUCUGUGCGAAGCCGUAAGGCGAAGUAUACGGGCUGACGCCUGCCCGGUGCUGGAAGGUUAAGGGGAGUGGUUAGCCGUAAGGCGAAGCUAUGAACCGAAGCCCCAGUAAACGGCGGCCGUAACUAUAACGGUCCUAAGGUAGCGAAAUUCCUUGUCAGGUAAAUUCUGACCCGCACGAAUGGCGUAACGACUUGGGCGCUGUCUCAACGAGAGAUCCGGUGAAAUUUUAAUACCUGUGAAGAUGCAGGUUACCCGCGACAAGACGGAAAGACCCCAUGGAGCUUUACUGCAGCUUGAUAUUGGACUUUG
RNAcentral lists this ribosomal RNA (540 nucleotides) under Cereibacter changlensis JA139. RNAcentral's name for it is "Bacterial large subunit ribosomal RNA". It matches the Rfam family "Bacterial large subunit ribosomal RNA", at positions 1588 to 2126 of the family's 2925-position model. The record is from Rfam by way of RNAcentral. Lineage: Bacteria; Pseudomonadati; Pseudomonadota; Alphaproteobacteria; Rhodobacterales; Paracoccaceae.